This 1233-nucleotide ribosomal RNA is filed under the name Alburnus tarichi (tarek). RNAcentral describes it as "partial large subunit ribosomal RNA". It matches the Rfam family "Bacterial large subunit ribosomal RNA", at positions 698 to 2572 of the family's 2925-position model. Lineage: Eukaryota; Metazoa; Chordata; Actinopteri; Cypriniformes; Leuciscidae. The record is from RNAcentral.
AGACCUUUAGUUUGAACCCCGAAACCAGGUGAGCUACCCCGAGACAGCCUAUAUUGAUUUAGGGCUAACCCGUCUCUGUGGCAAAAGAGUGGGAAGAGCUCCGGGUAGAAGUGACAGACCUACCGAACCUGGUGAUAGCUGGUUGCCUGAGAAGUGGAUAGAAGUUCAGCCUCGCACACCCCAAGCCAGAGAAUACACCGCUAAGGCACUCAGGGAAAUGUGGGAGAGUUAGUUAAAGGGGGUACAGCCCCUUUAACAAAGGAUACAACCUUUGCAGGAGGAUAAAGAUCAUAAUAUAUAUAACAUGCUGCUCUAGUGGGGCUAAAGGCAGCCACCUAAACAGAAAGCGUUAAAGCUCAGGCAGAAAGAAGUUUAUUAUACCGAUAAAAAAUCUUACUCCCCUAAUUAUAUCAGGCCUACCCAUGCCAACAUGGAAGAGAUUAUGCUAAAAUGAGUAACAAGAAGACCUGCUCUUCUCCCAGCACAAGUGUAAGCCAGAUCGGACUAGCCGCUGGAACUUAACGAACCCAACCCAAGAGGGUAGUGUGAAUAGUACAGACCCCAAGAAGAACUCACAACUAAACAAUCGUUAACCCCACACUGGAGUGCUAUUAUAAAGGAAAGACUAAAAGAGGGGGAAGGAACUCGGCAAACACAAGCCUCGCCUGUUUACCAAAAACAUCGCCUCCUGCAACUAUAUUGAGUAUAGGAGGUCCAGCCUGCCCAGUGACUACGGGUUCAACGGCCGCGGUAUUUUGACCGUGCAAAGGUAGCGCAAUCACUUGUCUCUUAAAUAGAGACCUGUAUGAAUGGCUAGACGAGGGCUUAACUGUCUCCCCCCUCCAGUCAGUGAAAUUGAUCUAUCCGUGCAGAAGCGGGUAUAAUUAUACAAGACGAGAAGACCCUUUGGAGCUUAAGGUACAAAAUCCAACCACGUUAAACGACCCCCUAAAGGGCAAGAACUUAGUGGCCAAUGAAGUUUUACCUUCGGUUGGGGCGACCACGGAGGAGAAAAAAGCCUCCGAGUGGACUGGGUUAAAACCCAAAGCUAAGAGAUACAUCUCUAAGCCGCAGAACAUCUGACCAAAAGUGAUCCGGCUAAAAAGCCGAUCAACGAACCAAGUUACCCUAGGGAUAACAGCGCAAUCCUCUCCCAGAGUCCAUAUCGACGAGGGGGUUUACGACCUCGAUGUUGGAUCAGGACAUCCUAAUGGUGCAGCCGCUAUUAAGGGU